RNAcentral lists this long non-coding RNA (1477 nucleotides) under Gossypium barbadense (sea-island cotton). RNAcentral's name for it is "long non-coding RNA (GBAR_LNC015829)". Lineage: Eukaryota; Viridiplantae; Streptophyta; Magnoliopsida; Malvales; Malvaceae. The record is from RNAcentral.
UUGAUUAUAAAAUUAAAUUGAUGAUAGUUAAGAUUAGGUAUAAAUUUUAAAUUGAUUAGUAAGUCAACAUGAAUCUUUAAAAAAAAUUAAAGAAAUCUUCUUUUAAAAUUGUUUAUUUUAAAUUUUAAAGUGUAAUACCUAAGUUUUGCCCAGGCCCGAUAAAUAUAAAAAAUCAAAUAUUAAUAUUAAAAGUCCAAAAUCCAGAUUACAAAAUCAAAAAAUAAUAAAUUAAAACCUAAAAUAAAUAAACCCAUUACACUAGCCCAAACCCUAACCCAAAACCUAAAUUUAAUUUAGCCCACUAGCCUAAAUACUCCUAGCCCAAUAAGCCCAACCCAAACUAAAAACAGAACCAAAAACCUUAGCAGCAUCCAGCUCCUAGCGCUGCAGCAGCCAAGCCCUCCCCCGCUCGUGCUGCGCCUCCGCACGCGUACGUCCCUCUGAGCUUGUAUCUGCACAGCAAAAAUGGCAACAAACAGCACAGGCAAGGAAAAAAAAAGAACAAGAAAAUCAAAAAUCGCAAAUCAAGGCCAACAGAUAACAGAAUAUAUUUCUAUUUUCUUGUUUCAUUUCGGCUAUAAAAAGCUAUUGAAAAUUUGUAAAAAGGGGAUUCACAAAUCAAAUAAAAAAAAAGAAUUGAUAUCACAAGCAGAGACUUUAGAUUUAAGGUAGAUUUUGUUUUUUUUUCUCUUUUUUGGUUUCUGUUUUCGAUUUAUUUUUUUAAAAUAAUACAAUAAGUAGUAAAGAAAAGGAAAUAGAAGGGGGUACUUGCCGGAAUGAUCCCGCGCGUUCUUCGUCAGCGUCGAGCACCAUCUAUGAUGGAGCCGCGGCGGAGAGACGUGGACUGGUGGCGGCAGAACCUAGGGCCGAAACCCUAGCAGAGGAAAUUUUAAAUCUAAUUUUUUUCUAUUUUAGGCUGCAAAUGUUUUUUUUUUAAUUUUUUUGGCUUAAAUAAAUCUGCUAAAACGGCGCCGUUUGAGAUGAGGCUUGUAGGUGUCAAAACGACAUCGUUUAAUGGCCUAUACCCGCGCUUUCGACCCGACCCGAAAGGGGGGAGUCCACGUGUUAUGUGAAGAGAGGUUAUUUGCAUGCGCGGUCCUCCUGUAUUUUUUAUUGUUUCAAUUCAAUCCUAUUUUCAUUAUUUUCAUUUUUUUUAAAACAGCCUGCUUAAUUCUUGCGCGUUGCAAUUUAAUCCUUGGCACACUGGCACGCUGGGAAGUGUACAUAUGUCUAAAGGAUGGUUUAUUUCGCAAUUCGGUCCUCCCUUCUUUAGCGCGCAUUCAAUCUGGUCCCGAUUUGUUUUUAUUCAUUACGAUUUUCCCUCAAAUUUUGUUUUGUUUUCAAUAUGAUCCAAUAAUUAUUUUAUUUUAUUUUAUUAUACAUAUAUAUAAUUCAUAUUAAAUUAUUUUUUAUUCUAUAUGUAUAUUAUUGAUACCUUAAUUUUUCUUUUAAAUGUGUUUAUAUUUUUGAAAGAAAA